This 3183-nucleotide long non-coding RNA is filed under the name Mus musculus (house mouse). Its description in RNAcentral is "long non-coding RNA chr3:28353792-28356975". Lineage: Eukaryota; Metazoa; Chordata; Mammalia; Rodentia; Muridae. The record is from RNAcentral.
UGUUCUACCAGCACUAGGACUCUGGUAUUUGGAAAACUGGGCAGAAAGCUUUUGGGGGAACUGAGGAAGUUCUACUUUGAUUGCAUUGUUGGUCCAAUCCUUCUUCCAUCACUUCCUGGAAAUAUGGAUUCCAAGAUACACUGUAAUAAGUUGGCUCUAUGGAUAUUAAUAUGAGAUUCUGAGUAUAUAUUUAUUUUUUGACUAACUAGAUUUUUCUCCUUGUGGUUGCCUCCUUAAGGCCAAUCACCAAUGAGAUUCCUUAGUUCUUUCACCUUUGCUUCUGAGCCCUUUGGAUGUGUCCAGGAGAAGGCUUUUCUCUUCUUCAGCCAUUGGAACUAAGGUCUCUGUAGGGAGCCUACUUGGCACUGAUUGGCUGAGUCAGAUGUCCAUUAGUGAAUGAUUCAGAGAAAGCCUCUGAAGUCAGCUGUCCAGAUACUCUCAGGAACUAGCUGUUAGUCUCAUCACUAAGAAGGAUAUGGGGAGAUUCAGCAUCCUGUCCUUACACCUUUGAUUGUCUCCCAGACUCCUUAAGCAGUCAGCAGUCACCACCCUGCAUCUGUCCCUUCCUCUCCUUCCUACCUCCCUCCUCUUCCCCUUUUCAUCCCUUUUCCAGCCUACUCUGUGGUCCAGACUGGUCUCAAAUGUCUGUUACUCCGUGUCCUGAGUGCCGAGGUUAUAAUUCUGAGUUACCAUUCCAUCCUCUUUCUUUUGUUCACACUUAUUUUCUAGUUGAAAUAUUUCAAGCAAAUGAAGAACUCCUUUGCAAACAUGUUGCAGAAACAUCACUGAGCAAACAAACUACUGAGAAACAGAGCAUAGACACAAACAGCAGCUGCUAUCAUUUAUGGCCUGUUUCUUCCCUCUUUUCUUCAUUUCUUUCUAAUCUUGGUCUAGGUUUAGGAGUUUAACAAAUUAAAAUUUUCUCUUGAGGGCUCUUGAGUGACCUUGACUGUGUCUUUACUAUGGGUGGUGGUUCUGAGCUGUUGUUCCCUAAUGACUUCCUCCUCUCCAUUCUGUACUUGGACAGAGCAGGUGGGCAUGACUUGAAUCUGGCAUUGUCUGUUCUUUGUUUAUCUUUUGUUUGUUUCUGUCUUUCCUUUUAAAUUCUGUAAGAGUAGUUCAUGCAAUCUCCAGUUUUUCCUCAGUAACCAAAAUUUCCCGUUUCUGAGUUUGUUAUAAAUGUAUGUGAGUGUUUGUGUGUUGCCAUGUGUGUGGGUCAUACACAUAUGUGUCUAUGUGUGCGGAAGCCAGAGGUUGACACUGAUAAUCUUACAGAUUAUCCAUGUAGUUAAAACAGGUGGAUCUCUGAGUUCCAGGACAGCCAGGGCUAUAUAGGGAAACCUUGUCUUGAAAACUGAUAACAAAACCCCCAACAAAACAAACAAAAAUUCCUUCCCUGGGGAUGAUGUAAAACAACAUCUACUCCUCUACCCAAGAUCCCAAUGAUGAACCAAGACAUGAUUCUGUGUGCAACGUUCACUGGGAAACCAAUGAAUUUUUUGUGCUCCCACACAGAACCUAGGUGAGGGGUUAGUUGCAAGAGUGUGGUCACUCCUCCACCAACAGGCUCCACCUGGAAAGCCUUAUCCAACAUGGGUACAGAGUUCCCAUUCCUAGGCAGACAACUGGAGACUGCACUCUGGUCUUUGGCAGCCUCUGUGUACUCUAGGUCUUCCCCUAGGCCAAGUCCAGAACGGCAGGGGAGAAGAAGCAGCAGAGUUCAAGCAAGACUCCUGUGUCCUAUCCUGAGCAUUUAUGAGGAUGGAAGUGAGGGCUGUAGACUGUCAUCCAGUCUAGCUGGGAUUAUCCUUUGCAUAUGGGCACAGCUGAACACCCUAACAUGGCCAUUGCUUGGCUCAGAGGGUAAUUACUUUGGAUACUUGCCUUGAAUCAGAAUCUAUUGCUUGACCACAGAGGUCGCCAGUUCAAUAAGUGUAGCUCGCCAGCUUUCAUUGGGGAUUGCCCAUGAUCCUCCCAAUGUUAGGAUUACAGGUGGGCCACAACACUAGCCUGGCACUUUUCAUGGAUGCUGGGAUCUCCAUUCUGGUCCUCACAGUUGCAUGGCAAGUGCUUUUACCUGUCGAGCCAUCUCCUCAGCUUUCUCUGUAGUCUUUGAGAGACUGUUAACCAGCUUUAAGGGAAGGGGAUCUGGUUUAGUGUAGACUCAUUUUCAAGAACUCUACCUGUCCUUCUUCAUGAUUAUCAAUUAGAAUGGUGGUCCCAAAGCCUGUUCCACUUCAGCAAUACUGUGGUGAAGCACUCCUCAUGAUAAAAGUGAUCAUUCAGGCUGGGGAUGCGGUUCAGUCUACAAAAUACUCUUCCAGGUCCAGCAGAAACUCAGGACAAAUGGCUAUCUGUGGUGUCGGUUAGCAUACCAGAGCUCAUGCUGGCUUCAAGGCCUUCUCAAUAUCAUUACUACCCUUGGAUCUUCUCAGCUCUUCUCGCCCUACCCUGCUACUCUGAACAUCUCCAGCUCAUGAGCUUGCCUUCCCCCAGCUUCUCCUUCCUAUAAAACCUGCCAUUUUGGUUUUCUUUUAUCCUUCUCUCUUCGUCCUCUUUCUCUUGCCCUCCCUGCAUCAUGCUGGCCAUGUUCAGUGUACUAUUUUCUCUCCCUGCUCGGAACUUUUCCAGAUGCCUCGGGCAUCCCUUCCUCAUAUCAAUAAUAUUUUAUUUCCUCAUAUCUACAAUAAAAAGCCUUCCCUUCCACCAUCCCUUGGAGCAGUUAUGUCCUCACUUUCUACACUUUCUUAGCAUAACUGAAAUCCCUGGCUUCAAACCCCAGCACACGUAACCUGGGCAUGGUGGCAUAGAUUGGUAAUCCCAGCACUUGGAGGAUCAAGGUGAAAGGUCAGCUUUUACAGUAUUACAUAGUAAGUUAGAGUCCAGUCUUGGCUAUAUGAGACCCACAGGGUAAAAGUCAACUGUACUUUACAGGCCCAGGCACUAGCCUGUGCCUUCAGGUCCUCCUAAGGCAGACAGUGCUCAAGUUAAAGGCACCCUUGGUCUGGGUAUGUCUGAUCAAAUGCCUGGGCUGUUUCCCUCACUCCUGCCAGCCCAUCCACCGUAACAUAGGUCAGGUAGCCAUUAGAGGUAGACUGCACUCUCAGAAUAGCUUUUGGAAAUCGCCUCUCAAGAUUUUUUUAGUUAAAUUAAAUGGCUAACACUUAAAAAUUAGAUCACACC